This 440-nucleotide ribosomal RNA is filed under the name uncultured bacterium. RNAcentral's name for it is "partial 16S ribosomal RNA". It matches the Rfam family "Bacterial small subunit ribosomal RNA", at positions 338 to 795 of the family's 1533-position model. The record is from RNAcentral.
CCUACGGGUGGCAGCAGUGGGGGAUAUUGCACAAUGGGGGAAACCCUGAUGCAGCGACGCCGCGUGUGGGAAGACGGUCCUCUGGAUUGUAAACCACUGUCCCCAGGGACGAAGAUGACGGUACCUGGGCAGGAAGCUCCGGCUAACUACGUGCGAGCAGCCGCGGUAAUACGUAGGGAGCGAGCGUUGUCCGAAAUUCCGGGGUGUAAAGGGAGCGUAGGCGGGGAUGCAAGUUGGGUGUCAAAAUUACCGGCUAAACUGGUAGUCGCACUCAAAACUGCAGCUCUUGAGUGAAGUAGAGGCAGGCGGAAUUCCUAGUGUAGCGGUGAAAUGCGUAGAUAUUAGGAAGAACACCAGUGGCGAAGGCGGCCUGCUAGGCUUUUACUGACGCUGAGGCUCGAAAGUGUGGGGAGCAAACAGGAUUAGAUACCCGAGUAGUC